AAGUCGUAACAAGGUUUCCGUAGGUGAACCUGCGGAAGGAUCAUUACCGAGUUCAUGCCCUCGCGGGUAGAUCUCCCACCCUGUGUAUACCUUACCUCUUUGCUUUGGCGGGCCGCCUGGCUACCGGCUUCGGCUGGUAAGUGCCCGCCAAAGGACCCCCAAACCCUAACCCAUUACCGUGUCGUCUGAGUAAAAACUUAAUAUUUAAAACUUUCAACAACGGAUCUCUUGGCUCUGGCAUCGAUGAAGAACGCAGCGAAAUGCGAUAAGUAAUGUGAAUUGCAGAAUUCAGUGAAUCAUCGAAUCUUUGAACGCACAUUGCGCCCCUUGGUAUUCCGAGGGGCAUGCCUAUUCGAGCGUCAUUAUCACCCCUCAAGCUCCGGCUUGGUGUUGAGGCCUGCUGUAAAGGCACCCUCUAAAAUCAGUGGCAGUGCCGUCAGGCUCUAAGCGUAGUAAUCUUCUCGCUAUAGGGCCCUGAGGGACGCUCGCCAGAACCCCCCAUCUUUCAUGAUUGACCUCGGAUUAGGUAGGGAUACCCGCUGAACUUAAGCAUAUCAAUAUGCGGAGGAAAAGAAACCAACAGGGAUUGCCUCAGUAACGGCGAGUGAAGCGGCAAAAGCUCAAAUUUGAAAUCUGGCUCUUUCAGGGUCCGAGUUGUAAUUUGUAGAAGAUAUUUCGGGUGUGGCUCCGGUUUAAGUUCUUUGGAAUAUUACAUCAUAGAGGGUGAGAAUCCCGUAUGUGACCGGCAGCCUUCGCCCAUGUGAAGCUCUUUCGACGAGUCGAGUUGUUUGGGAAUGCAGCUCAAAAUGGGAGGUAUAUUUCUUCUAAAGCUAAAUAUUGGCCAGAGACCGAUAGCGCACAAGUAGAGUGAUCGAAAGAUGAAAAGCACUUUGGAAAGAGAGUUAAACAGUACGUGAAAUUGUUGAAAGGGAAGCGCUUGCAACCAGACUUGCACGCAGUUGAUCAUCCGGUGUUCUCACCGGGGCACUCUGCUGGGUUCAGGCCAGCAUCGGUUUCGGUGGUUGGAUAAAGGCCCUGGGAAUGUGGCUCCUCUCGGGGAGUGUUAUAGCCCUCGGUGCAAUGCAGCCUACCGGGACCGAGGACCGCGCUUCGGCUAGGAUGCUGGCGUAAUGGUUGUAAGUGACC
Molecule: ribosomal RNA, 1146 nt
Filed under: uncultured fungus
Lineage: Eukaryota; Fungi
Description: eukaryotic LSU rRNA
Rfam family: Eukaryotic large subunit ribosomal RNA (bases 513-1146)
Source: RNAcentral